CAAUAGCGUAUAUUAAAGUUGUUGCAGUUAGAACGCUCGUAGUCGGAUUUCGGGGCGGGCCGACCAGUCUGCCGAUGGGUACGCACUGGUCGGCGCGUCCUUCCUUCCGGAGACCGUUCCUACUCUUAACUGAGCGGGGGCGGGAGACGGAUCGUUUACUUUGAAAAAAUCAGAGUGUUUCAAGCAGGCAGCUCGCUCUUGCAUGGAUUAGCAUGGGAUAAUGAAAUAGGACUUUGGUGCUACUUUGUUGGUUUCGAACACCGAAGUAAUGAUUAAAAGGGACAGUCAGGGGCACUCGUAUUCCGCCGAGAGAGGUGAAAUUCUCAGACCAGCGGAAGACGAACUACUGCGAAAGCAUUUGCCAGGGAUGUUUNCACUGA
Molecule: ribosomal RNA, 380 nt
Filed under: uncultured eukaryote
Lineage: Eukaryota
Description: partial 18S ribosomal RNA
Rfam family: Eukaryotic small subunit ribosomal RNA
Source: RNAcentral